Molecule: small nucleolar RNA, 115 nt
Filed under: Nannospalax galili (Upper Galilee mountains blind mole rat)
Lineage: Eukaryota; Metazoa; Chordata; Mammalia; Rodentia; Spalacidae
Source: RNAcentral
AUUAAAGACCCGAUGGGCCUUUUGCUAGUGACCAUCAAGAAGAGGCAAAGUAAAAACUGCUUUUGAGUGAAGUAGCAACUUGUGUUGUUUUACUUCAAUCAGUGUUGUGACAAGA